Penaeus monodon (black tiger shrimp) is the source of this 865-nucleotide long non-coding RNA. RefSeq lists it as uncharacterized. Lineage: Eukaryota; Metazoa; Arthropoda; Malacostraca; Decapoda; Penaeidae. The record is from RefSeq and is a predicted model, not a curated record. The transcript has 6 exons.
UUUUUUUCAGAGGUUAGGAACGGUGCUACUGAUACCCCCCCCCCCUCCUCUCUCUCUCUCUCUUUCUCUAUCUCUCUCUCUCUCUUUCUCUCUCUUUCUCUCUCUCUCUCUCGCUUGAUCUCUCUCUCUUUCUCUCUCUCUCACUCGCUUGAUCUCACUCAUCCCCCUCACUAUCUCCUAUCUAUCUCCUGAUCUUUCUCCUCCUCUUCCUCUUCCACCUUCCCCUCCUUUCGUCUCUUCCUCCUCCUCCUCCUCCUCCUCCUCCUCCUCCCCUGCUCCUCCUCCCUCCUUCCCUCCUCCUGGUCGCAUGCCACCUGUCCUCAUCAAUCACCAAUCACCGGUUGAUACAUCAUCCAACAAGAGACACCGCCAGUUUGAAGGAGGAGAGACCUCUGCUCGGCAAUGGCUGUUAACAACACUAGCAGCAAUUAAAGGAUGUGAUGGAGCUUCGCCUCUCUUCGUUAAUUAUGCUGUAGCCAUGAAGGAAGCUAUUGGAGAAAAGAUGAAGAAGAAGAAUGGAAGGAACAUAAAAUGAAAACAGAAUAGGAAAAAUAAUACCAAAAGAAGUGAAAUAGAAAAGGAAAAAAAACAAGAAAAUUAAGAAUAACUUAAUAAAAACGAUAAAUCAUGUGUCAGAAAAAAAUUGGUGUUUUUUUUCAACAAGUUUAUAUCUAUGAUUCUAUGAUGAAAGAUAAUAUUUCAGGAAAAUGUUUAAAAAAUGGAAGAAAUAAAUGAAUAAAAAAAAAUAAAUUAAGUAAAAAAAAAAAAGUUGAUGAUGAAGACGCAGAAACCAAGAAAAUAUUAUACAGCUCUGAUAUUAGGAAUACAAAGAACAAGAAGGUGAGUCACCCAUUAUAUAUUUUCC